Molecule: ribosomal RNA, 377 nt
Filed under: uncultured eukaryote
Lineage: Eukaryota
Description: partial 18S ribosomal RNA
Rfam family: Eukaryotic small subunit ribosomal RNA
Source: RNAcentral
CAAUAGCGUAUAUUAAAGUUGUUGCAGUUAAAAAGCUCGUAGUUGGAUUUCUGGUUCUCUGUUUUCUCGUUCCGAAUGGAAAAGAAGAGAAUGGGGAUGCCAUAUUUGCAAGGACCUUGUCUGCAAUUAAUUUUGUGGGUUUGUGAAUUGCAUCUUUUACUGUGAAAAAAUUAGAGUGUUCAAAGCGGGCUUACGCUUGAAUAUUUCAGCAUGGAAUAACACUAUAGGACUCCUGUCCUAUUUCGUUGGUCUCGGGACGGGAGUAAUGAUUAAGAGGAACAGUUGGGGGCAUUCGUAUUUCAUUGUCAGAGGUGAAAUUCUUGGAUUUAUGAAAGACGAACUUCUGCGAAAGCAUUUGCCAAGGAUGUUUUCAUUAA